RNAcentral lists this ribosomal RNA (207 nucleotides) under uncultured bacterium. Its description in RNAcentral is "partial 16S ribosomal RNA". It matches the Rfam family "Bacterial small subunit ribosomal RNA", at positions 568 to 774 of the family's 1533-position model. The record is from RNAcentral.
AGCGCAGGCGGGAAGACAAGUUGGAAGUGAAAUCCAUGGGCUCAACCCAUAAACUGCUUUCAAAACUGUUUUUCUUGAGUAGUGCAGAGGUAGGCGGAAUUCCCGGUGUAGCGGUGAAAUUCGUAGAUAUUCGGAGGAACACCAGUGGCGAAGGCGGCUCACUGGCUCGAUACUGACGCUGAGGUGCGAAAGCGUGGGGAGCAAACA